This 72-nucleotide transfer RNA is filed under the name Megalops atlanticus (tarpon). RNAcentral's name for it is "tRNA-OTHER". The record is from RNAcentral. Lineage: Eukaryota; Metazoa; Chordata; Actinopteri; Elopiformes; Megalopidae.
GGCUCUUUGGUAUCGCGGUUAAAGCUGCAGUUUGGUAUCCUGUAGAUCCGGGUUCGAGGCCCGGUGGGGUGA